RNAcentral lists this ribosomal RNA (258 nucleotides) under uncultured bacterium. RNAcentral's name for it is "partial 16S ribosomal RNA". It matches the Rfam family "Bacterial small subunit ribosomal RNA", at positions 96 to 354 of the family's 1533-position model. The record is from RNAcentral.
UGGCGGACGGGUGAGUAACGCGUGGGUAACCUGCCUCACACAGGGGGAUAACAGUUGGAAACGACCGCUAAUACCGCAUAAGCCGGAAGGAUCGCAUGAUCCGGCCGGAAAAGAUUUAUCGGUGUGAGAUGGACCCGCGUCUGAUUAGCCAGUUGGCAGGGUAACGGCCUACCAAAGCGACGAUCAGUAGCCGGCCUGAGAGGGUGAACGGCCACAUUGGGACUGAGACACGGCCCAAACUCCUACGGAAGGCAGCAG